Molecule: non-coding RNA, 1135 nt
Organism: Thunnus maccoyii (southern bluefin tuna)
Lineage: Eukaryota; Metazoa; Chordata; Actinopteri; Scombriformes; Scombridae
Source: the annotation of a RefSeq genome assembly
GUAUUUUUCAGUCCAGCAGGGGGAAACAAACGUCAGCAAAUGAAAUAGGUAUUAAGACUUCCACACAUCACAAUAUCAACAUAAUGAUACAUCCUGCUGACAAUGUGAAAGCUGUGAUGUACAUAUCUGACACCUCCCCUUUCCAUUUUACUGUGACAGUGAUGUGCUCGUGUCCACAGGUGCUGAACUAACAGGGUCUGAAAGUAAAGCUAGUAGUGAGUCUCACAUCUAAACUUCUUUAAUAUGAUGUUCAUGGUCUUCAUGUUUUGUUUCCUUCAUCUGCCGGGGAAUAACGGCGUCUCUCAUACCGCCAGUGUCCUCCAAACACCUCCAUUCAUCAUUAAGAGAACUGGUGAAUCUGUUGUCAGUGAGAUCUACUGCUCACACAGCAUAACAAGCUAUGAACGCAUUCUCUGGUACAAACAGGACAAAUCCAAAUCUCUGAAGUUACUGGGAUAUCUAAACCUGAAAUUCCCAUAUCCGGAGGAAGACGUGAAAGGAAAAAUCAGCUUUGAUGGAGAUGGCAGCAAACAUUCAAACCUGACUAUAUCUAAUGUUUCAUUAAGUGACAGUGCUGUGUAUUUCUGUGCUGCCAGUCAGCACAGUGCUGCAGAUUCCCCUCAGCUCACUACAAAAACCCUUCAUCUGUUUGACAGGCAGACAAAAUGUUCAGGCUCUUCAACACCUGCAGCCUGACUUCAACUAAACCAAGACUUGAAGAUUUUAUCAACUGUUUUGACACAUUUUUGACCCCCUCUGAGGUCCUGUUGUAGGCCCACAGUUAAACAUACUGUAUUGUCGUCAUAAUCCUUUGAUGUGCAGAACAUAAUGUUUGUAAUAUUGUCUCAUCAGCUACAAGAUGGAUGGAAUCUGGCACUAUUGUGGGUAUGGUACAUCAUUGUGGUUAUUCACUGAGAGAAAAAAAUGAUCACUUUUUCCAUCACUAGCUUAAUUGAGGUCAUUUAAAUACACAAACUAACACCAGACAGAAACUAAGCCUGAGAUGGGAAUGUUUUCUCAUGCUGUUAAAGGUGUUUUGCCUUUUAAUGUUAAUGAUGUUUCCAAAGACAGGAGUUUUUGUCAGUAUCUUCUACAUACAUGUACAUACAGUAUGUGUGUGGUGGUCAUAUAGUCA